AGACUUGUGGGAACCUGAGGAGU
This 23-nucleotide non-coding RNA is filed under the name Cricetulus griseus (Chinese hamster). The record is from RNAcentral. Lineage: Eukaryota; Metazoa; Chordata; Mammalia; Rodentia; Cricetidae.